GAUGAACGUUGGCGGCGUGCCUAAUACAUGCAAGUCGAACGAAGACUGUAGUAAUACUGUCUUAGUGGCGAACGGGUGAGUAACGCGUGGGUGACCUGCCCCGAAGUGUGGGAUAACAGUCCGAAAGGAUUGCUAAUACUGCAUAAUAUCCAAGAGAUUAGAUGCUUUUGGAUUAAAGGAGUAAUUCGCUUCGGGAGGGGCCCGCGUCCCAUCAGCUAGUUGGUAAGGUAAUGGCUUACCAAGGCGAUGACGGGUAGGGGACCUGAGAGGGUGGCCCCCCAAAUGGAACUGAAACACGGUCCAUACACCUACGGGUGGCAGCAGUAGGGAAUAUUAGUAAUGGGCGAAAGCCUGAACUAGCAACGCCGCGUGUGCGAAGAAGGCCUUGGGUCGUAAAGCACUUUUUGAGAGGAUGAGGAAGGACGGUACUCUCAGAAUAAGUCUCGGCUAACUACGUG
RNAcentral lists this ribosomal RNA (458 nucleotides) under uncultured bacterium. RNAcentral's name for it is "bacterial SSU rRNA". It matches the Rfam family "Bacterial small subunit ribosomal RNA", at positions 28 to 507 of the family's 1533-position model. The record is from RNAcentral.